RNAcentral lists this ribosomal RNA (658 nucleotides) under uncultured fungus. RNAcentral describes it as "eukaryotic LSU rRNA". It matches the Rfam family "Eukaryotic large subunit ribosomal RNA", at positions 24 to 664 of the family's 3401-position model. Lineage: Eukaryota; Fungi. The record is from RNAcentral.
CCCGCUGAACUUAAGCAUAUCAAUAAGCGGAGGAAAAGAAACUAACAAGGAUUCCCCUAGUAACGGCGAGUGAAGCGGGAACAGCUCAAAUUUGAAACCUGGCGUCCUUCGGGCGUCCGGAUUGUAUUCUAGAGAAGCGUCUUCCACGCUGGUCCAUGUAUAAGUGCCCUGGAACGGGCUGUCAUAGAGGGUGAGAAUCCCGUCCUUGACAUGGGCUACCAGUGUUUUUGUGAUGCGCUUUCUAAGAGUCGAGUUGUUUGGGAAUGCAGCUCAAAGUGGGUGGUAAAUUCCAUCUAAAGCUAAAUAUUGGCCUGAGACCGAUAGCGAACAAGUACCGUGAGGGAAAGAUGAAAAGCACUUUGAAAAGAGAGUCAAACAGUACGUGAAAUUGCUGAAAGGGAAACGCUUGAAGUCAGUCGCGCCCCCUGGAAUUCAGCCCUGCUUUUGUAGGGUGUACUUUCCAGGGGGUGGGCCAACAUCAGUUUUGACCGGCAGAUAAAGGCUGGGGGAAUGUGGCUCCUUUCGGAGUGUUAUAGCCCCCGGUCACAUAUGCCGGUUGGGGCUGAGGAUCGCAGCGCGCCCUUGUGGCAGGCCUUCGGGCACUUUCGCGCUUAGGAUGUUGGCAUAAUGGCUUUAAGCGACCCGUCUUGAAACACGG